UACAGAGGGGGCAAGCGUUGUUCGGAAUUACUGGGCGUAAAGGGCGCGUAGGCGGCCUGUUAACUCGAACGUGAAAUCCCUGGGCUCAACCCAGGAACUGCGUCCGAUACUGGCAGGCUUGAAUCCGGGAGAGGGAUGUGGAAUUCCAGGUGUAGCGGUGAAAUGCGUAGAUAUCUGGAGGAACACCGGUGGCGAAGGCGGCAUCCUGGACCGGUAUUGACGCUGAGGCGCGAAAGCCAGGGGAGCAAACGGG
RNAcentral lists this ribosomal RNA (253 nucleotides) under uncultured bacterium. RNAcentral describes it as "partial 16S ribosomal RNA". It matches the Rfam family "Bacterial small subunit ribosomal RNA", at positions 524 to 776 of the family's 1533-position model. The record is from RNAcentral.